GGCGAGGACACACCUGGUCCCGGCCAGCGCGGCGGAGGGCAUCGUGACUCCAGGCUGUACCGCGGCCCCCAACGAAGCACGUGACCCUCGUGUGGUCAUAAAGGGAGAGCACAGUUUUACGGGGAGGGACUGGGUAGCGGUCUCAGUAACAGGCAGAGUGCCAUAGUGUCAGUCCCUUUUCCCAAACUCCGAUCAGGAAGGGAAACACCCCCACCCACUCCGCUCCCAUCCCCAGAAGUCCCUCAGAAGCUCUUUUCUCCCCGAAGAGGACCCUGGGAAGGUGGCUCCCGCCUCACUCCUAGAGUGAAAUCCUCGCAGCCCUGCCCUCGCGGGCGGAGCAGAGACGCCGCCGCUUGGCCGGUUCACGCCUGUCACACAAAGCCGCCGAGGGUCGGCUGCGCCCCUGGCAAGGCUGUAGGGCUGGGGAUACUGAGUAUGACAGGCGAGGUCCCUGCUCUCAAGAACUUACAUGGGAGAGAAGGGGAGACAAGAUAAACAGAUGGAGCAACUCAACCCAAAAAGGUUGGUCUGUAUGGUGACGGAAUGUGGUCUCCCAGUUUUCAGCACAGCACUCAUUCAGCUAUUCUGCUCUUCAGAAAGCAGGAGGGAUGUGCCCUAAGGUGGACUAUUGAAAUGAUGAAAGCCACUGAGGAAGAGCCAGAGAAUUCUCGUAGCUGUGAUUAGACAUCAACCUUGGGCAUGCUAAACAUUUCAGCCUGGACACCCUGAGAAGAGCCAGUGCCACUGGUGACAGCUGCUUCUGUGCGGGCUUUUGCUUGGCCAGAGAGGCAGGACCUUCUCCCUGGCAUUUUGAGGAGUGGUGCCGGGUGGGCAGUGACUGCACUAGCAACAGUCUAUACCAAGAGAAGACCUCAAAUUCCCAGAGAAGAAAGGCAGCGAGGCCAAGAAAUGCUGCCGCCGCUUAACAAGUGAAGAUGCAUACUGGAGAAUAGGAACUGAACACGCGAAGGAGUUUCGGCUUUACUGCCUUCUCUCCUAGCAUUGAACAGAUCUUCUCUGCUGUUGAUUAUUCUCCAUGAAUCAUCAUCCAUAGAAAGUGACUGAGGCAAUAGAGAGUGAAUAAUGAAUCUCUCAAAUAGUCUUUUGUGUUUCUGCCUGGAGGGUUUUGGAAAUAACUUGCAUCUUAAUCUUUCUGACUUAGAAUCAUAGAAUUUGGGAGCUGAAAAGGACCUUCAUCAGGGCAUGUGGCCUCACAGAAAGACUGGAAGAAAAGAUUUGUGGGUAUGAGCCUCUGGUUCAUCACUAAAAAUAGGCCUAGUCUAACAUAUAUUGGAGGCUUUCCUUGUGUCAGGUACUCAUUUAUUCUUCCAAAACCUUGGGAGGUAGGUGCUGCUAUUCCUCCAUUCUGCAGAGGAGGAAGAGAUGAGGAGACAGUAGAUCACCAGAGGGCAGUGUGAGGGGUGUGCUGGAACCAUCAUGUGGAACUGGCUCUGGUUCCAGAAUCCACAUCCUCUCGGUCAUUCCACUCCCACAUCAAGUGGCUUUGGACAAGUAAUUUAACUUCUUUGGAUCUCAGUUUUCUCCUCCGUGAUCUCUAAAGUUUAAAAAUUACUAACAGUCUGCAUCUGCCACCCAAGCAUGUGAUUUUACAAGUCAGAAAAGUGUAGCGCAGAAAUGUUAAGUGACCUGCCCUAGGUCACCCAGGUUGCUAAGGGCAGAAUCAGCACAGAAACCCAGGCCCAGUGACCACUGCCCCCAGGCAAGACCUCCUUCCCUUCCACUGCACUUUGGCAGGUGUUCUAGGGGAAUCCAACUCCUUGCCUUAGAGGAGACCUGUUCAAUGAUAUCAGAUAGACUGGAGAUGUUACGUUUUGGUGUGGCCAAUCACAACACCAGGAUGAGCUUAGGAGGCUGGUGAUAUUUGUCUAUCUAAGCACCCCCAACCUAUCUAUCUGUCUGCUGUUUGUCUAUCUUUCUCAGGUUAUGCAUAGUGACCAAACCCCGCCUGGUAACUGUAGGGAAAGAGCAUGACUGGUGUGUUACAGCUACACACGCCCCCUGGUGGUAUUUCCAGUUGUUUGUCCUCUUCAUGCAAAUGUUGCCACCUUGUGCCAGCUCUCUCACCUAGCUUCCUUCAUGACGACAGUGGUUGCAAUUCUGCUCCUCUCUCUGCCUUCCCCUGUCCUUGGCUCCCCAUGUCCAGAAUCUGAUCAUUUACUGGUGUGCACCCUGGGAUGUGAUGUGUGCUUUGGGAGGAGACAGGACCCAACAGUAUCUCAGCUGUGCUCUGGUAAUCAGUGUGCACCACAUUACAAGCAUCCUCAUCCCAGUAUCCUCCCUAUUGAAAAAGAAAUGGGAAAGGGGUGGAUGUGUCAAUAAACACAACAUUGAAGGCAUCUGAAAUAGAACAAGGACAUCCUGGGUGAGGCAUU
Molecule: long non-coding RNA, 2393 nt
Organism: Homo sapiens (human)
Lineage: Eukaryota; Metazoa; Chordata; Mammalia; Primates; Hominidae
Gene: INKA2-AS1
Product: INKA2 antisense RNA 1
Source: Ensembl